UACCUGCGAGAAACAGGAAGUGAGAUUUUGCAACAGGCAAAACCAAAAAAGCUACCAAAAAUCUCCCCCCCACCCCCUCUUAAACCCUAACCGUGUCCCACAUUCUUCACAUCCACCUUUUACUUUUCGGAUUAAGCUGCUCUGGUCACACAGAAGCAGGAGGCAUUCGGAGUUUCACCUGGGACCAGCCUGGCUCGGACCAGACCAGCACUGACCUCCUAAAGUCAAACUGCAAGUUUCGCUGGUCCAGAGAAGCUCAGUACUUGUAUCUUCGCCGGCUCUCCUCACGCAGCUACUCAGCGAUUACAAUGAACCCGGUCACGGAGGAGACCGUGUGGGAGCAAUACACCGUGACCCUGCAGAGGGUG
Long non-coding RNA from Notothenia coriiceps (black rockcod), 368 nucleotides. RefSeq lists it as uncharacterized. NCBI's taxonomy places the organism in Eukaryota, Metazoa, Chordata, Actinopteri, Perciformes, Nototheniidae. The transcript is spliced from 3 exons. The record is from RefSeq and is a predicted model, not a curated record.